CCUACGGGCGGCAGCAGUGAGGAAUAUUGGUCAAUGGGCGCUAGCCUGAACCAGCCAAGUAGCGUGAAGGAUGACUGCCCUACGGGUUGUAAACUUCUUUUAUAAGGGAAUAAAGUGAAGCACGUAUACCUUUUUGUAUGUACUUUAUGAAUAAGGAUCGGCUAACUCCGUGCCAGCAGCCGCGGUAAUACGGAGGAUCCGAGCGUUAUCCGGAUUUAUUGGGUUUAAAGGGAGCGUAGAUGGGUUGUUAAGUCAGUUGUGAAAGUUUGCGGCUCAACCGUAAAAUUGAAAUUGAUACUGGCAGCCUUGAGUACAGUGGAGGUAGGCGGAAUCGGGGGGGUACGGGUGAAAGGCUGAG
RNAcentral lists this ribosomal RNA (358 nucleotides) under uncultured bacterium. Its description in RNAcentral is "partial 16S ribosomal RNA". It matches the Rfam family "Bacterial small subunit ribosomal RNA", at positions 338 to 695 of the family's 1533-position model. The record is from RNAcentral.